RNAcentral lists this unclassified non-coding RNA (377 nucleotides) under uncultured Sphingomonadaceae bacterium. Its description in RNAcentral is "contains 16S-23S intergenic spacer region". Lineage: Bacteria; Pseudomonadati; Pseudomonadota; Alphaproteobacteria; Sphingomonadales; Sphingomonadaceae. The record is from RNAcentral.
UCCGGCUUAUCACCGGCAGUUUCUUUAGAGUGCCCAACUAAAUGGUAGCAACUAAAGACGAGGGUUGCGCUCGUUGCGGGACUUAACCCAACAUCUCACGACACGAGCUGACGACAGCCAUGCAGCACCUGUGCAGGAGUCCCGAAGGAAGGCCCUGGUUUCUCAGAGCUGUCCCCUGCAUGUCAAGCCUAGGUAAGGUUCUUCGCGUUGCGUCGAAUUAAACCACAUGCUCCACCGCUUGUGCAGGCCCCCGUCAAUUUCUUUGAGUCUUAACCUUGCGGCCGUACUCCCCAGGCGGAUGACUUAACGCGUUAGCUGCGCCACCGAAACUCCAUGAGCCCCGACAGCUAGUCAUCAUCGUUUACGGCGUGGACUAC